CGAAAUAAUAUUAAAUGAAAUACGAAUAUCUUUCGUAGUUAUUUAUUGUUAAAGUCGGCCAUGACGUGCAUGCACUGUUUUAAUAAUAAAUCCAGUCGUGAUCCUUUGUAGUUUUAAGGUUUUCAGGAUCCAGUCAGGAUAUUAGGAAAAUGCUAAACAUUGCAUACUUCGCAAUGUUUUUCUAUAUGAAACUGCACAAACAGUGGUGUAGAGUAUCGUCGGCAUUUUUAAAGAAACUGCGUACUAUCUUUUUUUUAUUAGAUAAGAUUGGUACAGAGUGCUGAAAAUUUCAAGGGGGAAAGCACGUCAAACCGAUUUUACGAUGCGGCUAUAGUAUAUAGUAUAUAGUAUUGGUGUUAUGUAUGCAUCCAUCGUCUAUUUGGAGGUUUCACAGACUAUUGCAACGAGUUCAAGGAAAAAGUACAGGGAAACGAUCUCAAUUUAUGUUCGCUACGGAGACACUGCGGUAUCGCAUGUUAAAAAAAAAAAAAAAA
Pogonomyrmex barbatus (red harvester ant) is the source of this 494-nucleotide long non-coding RNA. Lineage: Eukaryota; Metazoa; Arthropoda; Insecta; Hymenoptera; Formicidae. The record is from RefSeq and is a predicted model, not a curated record.